Molecule: long non-coding RNA, 384 nt
Filed under: Mytilus galloprovincialis (Mediterranean mussel)
Lineage: Eukaryota; Metazoa; Mollusca; Bivalvia; Mytilida; Mytilidae
Source: RNAcentral
CAUAAUUAACAGCGCCUGGUGAUGUUUCAUAGCCUGACCGGUUUCGGUCCAAAAAGGACCUUCAUCAGAGGCAGAAGGCAGAAUGGUGGAUUAAUGUUUGCACCCUAUUUAUAUAGAUAUGGUAACCGGCGGUUGAGUUAACCGGCGGUUGAGAUUUAACCGGCGGUUGGGUUAACCGGCGGUUGAGUUAACCGGCGGUUGAGAUUUAACCGGCGGUUCAGAGUUAACCGGCAGAUCAAAGUUAUCCAGUGGAUAAAUAUGUAUCUGGUUGAUGUCUAAACAGGUUAAAUUAUCCUUUCAGUGAAAAAUCCUCGUGGGGUUUCCAUGGUUACAGUUAUCUAUAUUUAGCUAAUGUACACGUUACAGUAAACUUUUUGACAUGUU